RNAcentral lists this ribosomal RNA (468 nucleotides) under uncultured bacterium. Its description in RNAcentral is "partial 16S ribosomal RNA". It matches the Rfam family "Bacterial small subunit ribosomal RNA", at positions 28 to 507 of the family's 1533-position model. The record is from RNAcentral.
GACGAACGCUGGCGGCGUGCUUAACACAUGCAAGUCGAACGGAAAGGCCCUGCUUUUGUGGGGUGCUCGAGUGGCGAACGGGUGAGUAACACGUGAGUAACCUGCCCUUGACUUUGGGAUAACUUCAGGAAACUGGGGCUAAUACCGGAUAGGAGCUCCUGCUGCAUGGUGGGGGGUGGAAAGUUUCGGCGGUUGGGGAUGGACUCGCGGCUUAUCAGCUUGUUGGUGGGGUAGUGGCUUACCAAGGCUUUGACGGGUAGCCGGCCUGAGAGGGUGACCGGCCACAUUGGGACUGAGAUACGGCCCCGACUCCUACGGGAGGCAGCAGUGGGGAAUAUUGCACAAUGGGCGGAAGCCUGAUGCAGCAACGCCGCGUGCGGGAUGACGGCCUUCGGGUUGUAAACCGCUUUCGCCUGUGACGAAGCGUGAGUGACGGUAAUGGGUAAAGAAGCACCGGCUAACUACGUG